Molecule: long non-coding RNA, 440 nt
Filed under: Cricetulus griseus (Chinese hamster)
Lineage: Eukaryota; Metazoa; Chordata; Mammalia; Rodentia; Cricetidae
Description: lncRNA (ENSCGRG00015029012.1)
Source: RNAcentral
GGUGAACGUAGCAGGUGCUUGCAGUUUUCCUAGCUUCUGGUUUCUGAAAGUGCUUAGUUUAGUAGCUGUGGUGUACGGAAUAAGAGUGGAAGUCUUCCGAGCAUCUUAUGCUCCCUUCAUGAUGUGUUCCAGGUGGAUUGUUUCUCAGGCUCCUCUCCUUUAUGCCACCUCCCAGGAGGAGGUAACCACAGGGGAUGGUGAGCAACGUAAAAGCAGUGACUGCAUCUGCCGGCUGCCUGGUGUCAUCUCUGCCUGGCACUGUGCCUGCCACAGUGGGUGUUUGUUGAGCAAACAAAGGAGUCUUUCUUUCUACCUCCUUUAACUUUGGCCAAGUCUAUCUGGCUCAUCAGCCCCAGUGAUGAUGACAGGUGUUUGGUGAGCUUCCAAACAGACUACUCAUGAAGUACAGCAGGUGAUUGGGCAGCUGAGCUCGGCUGGAG